RNAcentral lists this ribosomal RNA (450 nucleotides) under uncultured Glomeromycotina. Its description in RNAcentral is "SSU rRNA". It matches the Rfam family "Eukaryotic small subunit ribosomal RNA", at positions 569 to 1023 of the family's 1831-position model. Lineage: Eukaryota; Fungi; Glomeromycota. The record is from RNAcentral.
AGCAGCCGCGGUAAUUCCAGCUCCAAUAGCGUAUAUUAAAGUUGUUGCAGUUAAAAAGCUCGUAGUUGAAUUUCGAGAUCAAAUUGUUGGUCGUGCCUUGGUACGCACUGGCAUUAUUGGUUUCUCCCUUCUGACGAACCAUGAUGUCAUUAAUUUGGUGUCUUGGGGAAUCAGGACUGUUACUUUGAAAAAAAUUAGAGUGUUUAAAGCAGGCUCACGCUUGAAUACAUUAGCAUGGAAUAAUGAAAUAGGACGUUUGAUUCUAUUUUGUUGGUUUCUAGGAUCGACGUAAUGAUUAAUAGGGAUAGUUGGGGGCAUUAGUAUUCAAUUGUCAGAGGUGAAAUUCUUGGAUUUAUUGAAGACUAACUACUGCGAAAGCAUUUGCCAAGGAUGUUUUCAUUAAUCAAGAACGAAAGUUAGGGGAUCGAAGACGAUCAGAUACCGUCGUAG